This 327-nucleotide ribosomal RNA is filed under the name uncultured eukaryote. RNAcentral's name for it is "partial 18S ribosomal RNA". It matches the Rfam family "Eukaryotic small subunit ribosomal RNA", at positions 1470 to 1796 of the family's 1831-position model. The record is from RNAcentral.
CCCUUAGAUGUUCUGGGCCGCACACGCGCUACACUGAAGGAGGCAGCGUGUACUCCUGGAUCGAAAGAUUUGGGUAACCCGCGAAUCUCCUUCGUGCUAGGGAUUGAGGUUUGCAAUUAUCCUUCAUGAACGAGGAAUUCCCAGUAAGUGCAAGUCAUAAGCUUGCGCUGACUACGUCCCUGCCCUUUGUACACACCGCCCGUCGCUACUACCGAUUGAAUGAUUUAGUGAGGAUUUCGGACUGGGACUGAUGCGGCUUUCGGGCUGCGUCGGUAUUCUGGAAAGAUGUCCAAACUGUAUCAUUUAGAGGAAGUAAAANUCGUANCA